Sinocyclocheilus anshuiensis is the source of this 792-nucleotide long non-coding RNA. RefSeq lists it as uncharacterized. NCBI's taxonomy places the organism in Eukaryota, Metazoa, Chordata, Actinopteri, Cypriniformes, Cyprinidae. The transcript is spliced from 3 exons. The record is from RefSeq and is a predicted model, not a curated record.
AGCAUUUCUCCAUUCUCCUCACCAGCCAGUAUACACAGCGACAAAGCAUGGGGUGAUUGGAUUUUCAAGAGCCAUUGCAGACGCAUCUGAACAGGGCAGUUAUGGAGUGAGGAUCAACACACUGUGCCCAGCCUUCGUGGACACCCAACUCCUUCGCACUGUGGAGCAUGAGGAAACAAUGGGCAAGUUUGUCAAGUACAAAGAUGAAUUCAAGCAACGGAUGGACAAGUAUGGCGUUCUCAAACCAUCUCUGAUUGCCGAAGGAAUGCUGCGAAUGGUAACAGAUGAAAGCCUAAACGGAGCCGUGAUGAAGAUCACCUGUUCUAAAGGCAUUCACUUCCACACCUAUGAACCUCUUUCAGCUUGAGAGUGAUGCCUUCAUCAAACAUGUUUGCCUUUUUUCUCUCCUCUCCAUUCCUCAUCAGAACAUUUAUUUUAUUGAAGUCCAGUGCAGACACCUCAAACAGCUAGUUGAAUGACACAAACCUAUGGCGCAUUUAAGAAAUAAAAAGGGACGGUAUAGAUUUUCCUGUCUAUCAUUUGAGUUUUGAAAACCAAAAAGGACUGCAUAAUGGCAUUCGGGCCUCUUUCUAAACUGGUUUCAUUUUUUUGUAACGCCCUUGAACAUUAAUUUGUAUGCAACUGCUUUACUGUGAGUAAUUGGUUUUGAGAAAAGAAAAUCAUAUUUAUUAAUAAUUCAGUUAUUCUUUUCGUGUCAAUCGUACCUCAAUAUCGCAAACCAAUGAUUCUUAUAAUUUUGUAUAAUAUUUUAGAUAUAUGGAUAUCUUUGUG